This 60-nucleotide microRNA precursor is filed under the name Mus musculus (house mouse). RNAcentral describes it as "Mmu-Mir-506-P17_pre stem-loop". It matches the Rfam family "mir-463 microRNA precursor family". Lineage: Eukaryota; Metazoa; Chordata; Mammalia; Rodentia; Muridae. The record is from RNAcentral.
UACCUAAUUUGUUGUCCAUCAUGUAAAACAUAAAUGAUGAUAGACACCAUAUAAGGUAGA